Molecule: RNA transcript, 1482 nt
Organism: Carya illinoinensis
Lineage: Eukaryota; Viridiplantae; Streptophyta; Magnoliopsida; Fagales; Juglandaceae
Gene name: KH domain-containing protein At1g09660/At1g09670-like
Exons: 9
Source: RefSeq, a predicted model, not a curated record
AUCCAUGCUACUUGCUCCUAUUUAGAGUAGGGCUUUUGUCCCUCUCCCACUGCAUUCUCGAUUCCGUCACUCCACCCAAUAAGGGACAGAUUCGACAGAAUAGACUUGAAUCUCUCUGCCUCAUCACCCUACACCUCCCUCUCUCUCCCCGCUUCCACCCAUACAUCUCGUGUGAUGGGAGAUAGAAUCCCACCUGGUAGUUACUUCCAUUAUCCUCCUGGACUCCCUGCUUCUCCUAUCAGGUCUUCUACCCUUCCUUCAGAUCGAGAAAGAUACUUGGCUGAAUUACUGGCGGAGAAACAAAAUUUGGGACCAUUUUUGCAAGUUCUUCCCUUGUGUAGCAGACUUCUAAAUCAAGAAAUCAGACGGGUUUCCAGCUUCAAUCAAAGUUUUGUGGGUCAUGAAAGACUUGAGCAUGAGAACCCACUUAGGUCAAUAGGUCAACCCCUUAAUGGUAGAGCAAUGGAUUUAGAAGGAUGGCCCGCAAUGCACGUGGAGGAAAAUGGACAAGUUCAAAGAAUGGCCCCGGUUCAAAAUUCUCCAAUCGGUUGGCCUGGGUUGCGAGGAGUUCCAACCACUCCUAUUGUGAAGAGAGUUAUUAGACUUGAUGUUCCUGUGGAGAAAUAUCCAAAUUAUAAUUUUGUUGGUCGAAUUCUGGGACCACGUGGGAACUCACUGAAAAGAGUUGAAGCCAUGACAGAAUGUAGGGUGUACAUAAGAGGAAGGGGCUCUGUUAAGGAUUCUUUAAAGGAAGAGAAACUGAAGGAUAAACCGGGGUACGAGCACCUUAAUGAGCCACUGCAUGUGUUGGUGGAGGCUGAGUUUCCAGAAGAUAUUAUAAAUGCCCGCUUGGAUUAUGCAGUGACAAUAUUAGAGAAACUUUUGAAGCCUGUGGAUGAGUCCUUGGAUCAUUAUAAGAAGCAACAAUUAAGGGAGCUGGCUAUGUUGAAUGGCACUCUAAGAGAAGAAAGCCCUAGCAUGAGCCCAAGCAUGAGCCCAAGCAUGUCACCUUUUAACAGUACUGGAAUGAAAAGAGCAAAGACAGGAAGAUAACCAGAAAAUAUUGAUGAUGUGACCUUGUUUAGUUAGUUUGGUGAAUGCAUGCGAUUGGUAUUGGCCUGAUGGCAGAACCUUGGGAUGGGAAGCUGACCGGCUACUUGAACUCCUGAGGCAAAGCUCAAUAUGAAUUCCGAAAGUGUUCCAUUAGCGUGGUGAAAUCAGGUCGGAUGCAUGACAAGAACUUGUUCGCCAGUGCAAACGUUUACUUGUCUAUGUCUAUACCGACGUACACGCUCACACCCUUCCCAGUAGAUUGCGACAUCUCUAGAAUUAGCAGUGACUCAGCUGAAAUUGAGCGUCUCAACGGGGCAAAUUUCUGAUAAAAACAUGUCUCAAGUUUUUUUUUUCAAAAUUAAUGUGCCGCCUGAAUUAUGCAAGCCCUGCCUCAAGCUUAAAGAGUUAAUCAUGUUUCAUGAUGAUCCA